ACGGGAGGCAGCAGUGGGGAAUAUUGCACAAUGGGCGAAAGCCUGAUGCAGCAACGCCGCGUGAAGGAGGAAGGCCUUCGGGUCGUAAACUUCUGUCCUUGAGGAAGAAGAACUGACGGUACUCAAGGAGGAAGCCCCGGCUAACUACGUGCCAGCAGCCGCGGUAAUACGUAGGGGGCAAGCGUUAUCCGGAAUUAUUGGGCGUAAAGAGUGCGUAGGUGGUUACCUAAGCGCAGGGUAUAAGGCAAUGGCUCAACCAUUGUUCGCCCUGCGAACUGGGCUACUUGAGUGCAGGAGAGGAAAGCGGAAUUCCUAGUGUAGCGGUGAAAUGCGUAGAUAUUAGGAGGAACACCAGUGGCGAAGGCGGCUUUCUGGACUGUAACUGACACUGAGGCACGAAAGCGUGGGGAGCAAACAGGAUUAGAUACCCUGGUA
This 435-nucleotide ribosomal RNA is filed under the name uncultured bacterium. RNAcentral describes it as "bacterial SSU rRNA". It matches the Rfam family "Bacterial small subunit ribosomal RNA", at positions 341 to 792 of the family's 1533-position model. The record is from RNAcentral.